AGAGUUUGAUCCUGGCUCAGGUUGAACGCUGGCGGUAUGCUUAACACAUGCAAGUCGAACGGAAACGAUACUAGCUUGCUAGUAGGCGUCGAGUGGCGGACGGGUGAGUAACGCGUAGGAAUCUGCCUGAUAGUGGGGGAUAGCCCGGAGAAAUUCGGAUUAAUACCGCAUAAUCUAUUCGUAGUAAAGUGGGGGACUUUCGAGCCUCACGCUAUCAGAUGAGCCUGCGUAAGAUUAGCUAGUUGGUAGGGUAAAAGCCUACCAAGGCGACGAUCUUUAGCUGGUCUGAGAGGAUGAUCAGCCACAUCGGGACUGAGACACGGCCCGAACUCCUACGGGAGGCAGCAGUGGGGAAUAUUGGACAAUGGGGGCAACCCUGAUCCAGCAAUACCGCGUGUGUGAAGAAGGCCUGAGGGUUGUAAAGCACUUUCAAUUGUGAAGAAAAGUUAGCGGUUAAUAACCGUUAGCCUUGACGUUAACUUUAGAAGAAGCACCGGCUAACUCCGUGCCAGCAGCCGCGGUAAUACGGAGGGUGCAAGCGUUAAUCGGAAUUACUGGGCGUAAAGCGUGCGUAGGCGGUUUAUUAAGUCAGAUGUGAAAGCCCCGGGCUUAACCUGGGAACUGCAUUUGAAACUGGUAAACUAGAGUAUGGUAGAGGAAAGUGGAAUUUCUGGUGUAGCGGUGAAAUGCGUAGAUAUCAGAAGGAACAUCAAUGGCGAAGGCAGAUUUCUGGACCAAUACUGACGCUGAGGUACGAAAGCGUGGGUAGCAAACAGGAUUAGAUACCCUGGUAGUCCACGCCGUAAACGAUGAUAACUAGCCGUUGGGGGGAUUUACCCUUUAGUGGCGAAGCUAACGCGUUAAGUUAUCCGCCUGGGGAGUACGGCCGCAAGGUUAAAACUCAAAGGAAUUGAUGGGGACCCGCACAAGCGGUGGAGCAUGUGGUUUAAUUCGAUGCAACGCGAAGAACCUUACCUGGUCUUGACAUCCUGCGAACUUUCUAGAAAUAGAUUGGUGCCUUCGGGAACGCAGUGACAGGUGCUGCAUGGCUGUCGUCAGCUCGUGUCGUGAGAUGUUGGGUUAAGUCCCGUAACGAGCGCAACCCCUAUCCUUAUUUGCCAGCACAUCAUGGUGGGAACUAUAAGGAGACUGCCGGUGAUAAACCGGAGGAAGGCGGGGACGACGUCAAGUCAUCAUGGCCCUUACGACCAGGGCUACACACGUGCUACAAUGGGAAGGACAAAGAGCCGCGAAGCCGCGAGGUGUAGCUAAUCUCAUAAACCUUUUCGUAGUCCGGAUUGGAGUCUGCAACUCGACUCCAUGAAGUCGGAAUCGCUAGUAAUCGUAGAUCAGAAUGCUACGGUGAAUACGUUCCCGGGUCUUGUACACACCGCCCGUCAUACCAUGGGAGUGGGUUGCACCAGAAGUGGCUAGUCUAACUUAGUGAGGACGGUCACCACGGUGUGAUUCAUGACUGGGGUAAAGUCGUAACAAGGUA
Molecule: ribosomal RNA, 1498 nt
Filed under: uncultured marine bacterium
Lineage: Bacteria
Description: bacterial SSU rRNA
Rfam family: Bacterial small subunit ribosomal RNA
Source: RNAcentral